Molecule: transfer RNA, 431 nt
Filed under: Legionella fairfieldensis
Lineage: Bacteria; Pseudomonadati; Pseudomonadota; Gammaproteobacteria; Legionellales; Legionellaceae
Description: partial 16S-23S ribosomal RNA intergenic spacer
Rfam family: tRNA (bases 157-229)
Source: RNAcentral
AGGGGAACCUGCGGCUGGAUCACCUCCUUAAAGAUAAGGUACUUGAGGAAUUAAAGUGCCCACACAGUUUGUUUUCGAGAAGAAGCGAUGAUUGCCGUAUUUUUUGGGUGGAUUGGAAUGGUUUCAUGAAGCUUGUGAGAUAGAGAGGCAAGACGAGGGGUCGUAGCUCAGCUGGGAGAGCACCUGCCUUGCACGCAGGGGGUCGGGAGUUCGAUCCUCCCCGGCUCCACCAAAUCAUUGUGAGAUAGUAUAGAGGGGAAUGCUUUUGUUGUUUGUGGAUUGGCAAGAGUAUUUUCAUCUGGAUUAUCCGGACGUUCAUUAACAAGUAGGUAAAGAAAGAGGUAACACGAGCGAAGAGUCUGCAUUGUGUAGCAUUGAUUAUUGAGGAUUGGAUUAAUCUGAGGUGAUUGAGGUUAUAUGGUCAAGAAGAG